UUAAAUUAUAAAAUAAUAAAUUUGAGUAGUAAUAGUUAUAUUCUUGAAACUUAAUAAAUUUGGCAGUAUUUUAAUCUAUUUAGAGGAGUUUGUUUUUUAAUUGAUAGUCCUCAUUUAAUCUUACUUAAUUUUGAAUAAUUUAUAUAUCGUCGUCAUCAGAAUAUUUUUAAAAAAUAAUAAGUUUCUUAAUUAAUAAAAAUUAAAAAUGUCAGAUCAAGGUGUAGUUUAUGAUUAAGUAAAAAUGAACUACAAUAAAUUUAUUUAUUAAUGGAUUUUGAAUUGAAAUAUUUUUAAGAAGGUGGAUUUGAUAGUAAAUUUAAUAAUAGAAUUAAGUUGAUUUUAGUUAUAAAAUGUGU
This 356-nucleotide ribosomal RNA is filed under the name Robsonomyia sp. DK-2014. RNAcentral's name for it is "12S ribosomal RNA". Lineage: Eukaryota; Metazoa; Arthropoda; Insecta; Diptera; Keroplatidae. The record is from RNAcentral.